AGUUCGAUUAUGGCUCAGAUUGAACGCGCUGUAAGGAUGCUUUACAUGCGAGGUGGUCGAGCAGCUGGCUUGCGGGCGCCUGGUUAUGGUGUGACGAAAUUAAACGAACAGUUGAUAUCCUCGGGUGAUGCCUAAUAGCCGGGGAUAUGUGCGAAAGCGUAGCCUAAUACCGCAUACGCCCUUCGGGGAAGCGAGACCUUCCGGGCCUCGCACUAUUAGAAGCAGCCGAUAUCGGAUUGGCUAGUUGGUGGGGUAACGGCUCACCAAGGCGACAAAUCAUCAGCUGGUUUGAGAGGACGACCAGCCACACUGGGACUGAGACGGCCCAGAUACGGGGAGGCCAGCGGUGGGAAUUUGGACAAAUGAGGAAGCCUGAACCAGCAUGACCAUCCGCGUGUGCAGUGGAAGAGCCUUACAAGGUUUGUAAAGCCGCACCGGCGGAAAGAAACGUUUGGAUAAUACGUGCAACUGACGGUACAGAUAAGCACCGGCUAACUACGUGCCAGCAGCCGCGAUGCAUCGGGGACGGUGAACAAUCAGAUUACUUCAGGCGUAAAAGCCGUGCAGGCGGUUCGAAGAAGAUGUGAAGAUAUUAGACUUAACUUUGGAACUGCAUUUUUAACUACCGAGCUGGUGUGUCAGAGGGAGGGUGAAUUCCGCGUGUAGCAGUGAUGCGUAGAUAUGCGGAGGAACACCGAUGGCGAAGGCGGCCUCCUGGGAUAACACUGACGCUCGCUGUGCAGAAAGCCGUGGAGCGAAGCGGAUUGAAUAUGCCUGGUAGUCCUUCCUAAACGAUGUCAACCUGACUGUUACAGGGCCUUCUGGGCCUUGGUAGCGCAGCUAACGUGAAGUUGACCGCCUGGGAGUACGGUCGCAAGAUUAAAACUCAAAGGAAUUGACGGGGACCCACUGAAGCGGUGGAUGAUGUGGAUUGAACUGAGUCAACGCGAAACCUUACCUACCCUUGACAUGUCUGGAAUCCCGAAGAGAUUUGGGAGUGCUCGCAAAGAGAACCGGAACACGGGUGCUGCAUGGCUGUCGUCAGCUCGUGUCGUGAGAUGUUGGAUUGGUGUUCCAUAACGACAACCCUUGUCAUUAGUUGCUACGAAAGGCGCUCUAAUGAGACUGCCGGUAGCUCGACUGGAGGAAGGUGGGGAUGACGUCAAGUCUCAUGGCCCUUAUGGGUAGGGCUUCACACGUCAUACAAUGGUCGGGACAGAGGGUCGCCCAACCCGCGAGGAGCCAAUCCCAGAAACCCGAUCGUAGUCCGGAUCGCAGUCUGCAACUCUUCUCGACUGCGUGAGACAGAUCGCUAGUAAUCGCGGAUCAGCAUGUCGCCCGGUGACCGCGUUCCCGGGUCUUGUACACACCGCCCGUCACACCAUGGGAGUGGGUUUUGCAGAAGUAGUUAGCCUAACCGUAAGGAGGGCGAUUACCACGGUAGGAUUCAUAUUCGGUGGAAGUCGUAACAAGGUAG
Molecule: ribosomal RNA, 1477 nt
Filed under: uncultured Bordetella sp.
Lineage: Bacteria; Pseudomonadati; Pseudomonadota; Betaproteobacteria; Burkholderiales; Alcaligenaceae
Description: partial 16S-23S ribosomal RNA intergenic spacer
Rfam family: Bacterial small subunit ribosomal RNA
Source: RNAcentral